CCCUUAGAUGUUCUGGGCCGCACGCGCGCUACACUGAAGGGAUCAGCGUGUUUUCCCUUCCCGAGAGGGACGGGUAACCCGCUGAACCCCCUUCGUGGUAGGGAUCGGAGCUUGCAAUUGUUCUCCGUGAGCCAGGAAUUCCCAGUAAGCGCAAGUCAUAAGCUUGCGUUGAUUACGUCCCUGCCCUUUGUACACACCGCCCGUCGCUACUACCGAUUGAACGUUUUAGUGAGGUAUUUGGACUGGGCCUUGGGAGGUUUCGGCCUCCCUUGUUGCUCGGAAAGACUCCCAAACUUGAGCGUUUAGAGGAAGUAAAAGUCGUAACA
RNAcentral lists this ribosomal RNA (326 nucleotides) under uncultured eukaryote. RNAcentral's name for it is "partial 18S ribosomal RNA". It matches the Rfam family "Eukaryotic small subunit ribosomal RNA", at positions 1470 to 1796 of the family's 1831-position model. The record is from RNAcentral.